GGGUGAGUAACACGUGAGUAACCUGCCCUAGGCUUUGGGAUAACCCCGGGAAACCGGGGCUAAUACCGGAUAUGACUGGCUGCCGCAUGGUGGUUGGUGGAAAGAUUUUUCGGCUUGGGAUGGACUCGCGGCCUAUCAGCUUGUUGGUGGGGUAAUGGCCUACCAAGGCGGCGACGGGUAGCCGGCCUGAGAGGGCGACCGGCCACACUGGGACUGAGACACGGCCCAGACUCCUACGGGAGGCAGCAGUGGGGAAUCUUGCACAAUGGGCGGAAGCCUGAUGCAGCGACGCCGCGUGAGGGAUGACGGCCUUCGGGUUGUAAACCUCUUUCAGCAGGGACGAAGCGUUUGUGACGGUACCUGCAGAAGAAGCGCCGGCCAACUACGUGCCAGCAGCCGCGGUAAGACGUAGGGCGCGAGCGUUGUCCGGAUUUAUUGGGCGUAAAGAGCUCGUAGGCGGCUUGUCGCGUCGACUGUGAAAACCCGUGGCUCAACUGCGGGCUUGCAGUC
This 510-nucleotide ribosomal RNA is filed under the name Salinispora pacifica. RNAcentral describes it as "bacterial SSU rRNA". It matches the Rfam family "Bacterial small subunit ribosomal RNA", at positions 104 to 628 of the family's 1533-position model. Lineage: Bacteria; Bacillati; Actinomycetota; Actinomycetes; Micromonosporales; Micromonosporaceae. The record is from RNAcentral.